This 736-nucleotide ribosomal RNA is filed under the name uncultured Lecanoraceae. RNAcentral's name for it is "eukaryotic LSU rRNA". The stretch from base 257 to 736 matches the Rfam family "Eukaryotic large subunit ribosomal RNA", at positions 1 to 492 of the family's 3401-position model. The record is from RNAcentral. Lineage: Eukaryota; Fungi; Ascomycota; Lecanoromycetes; Lecanorales.
GUGUGAAUUGGCAGAAUUCAGUGAAUCAUCGAAUCUUUGAACGACACAUGUGCGACCCGCUGGUAUGUCCGGCGGGCAUGCCUGUUCGAGCGUCAUUGCACCUCUCAAGCUUGGCUUGGUAUUGGGCCUCCGUCCUCCGCGGGCGGGCCUGAAAAUCAGUGGCAGUGUAGCCGGUGCUCAAGCGUAGUAAUGUAAACACCCUCGCUUUGGAGUCCCCGGCUGGACCCGCCAGACAAACCCCAUUCAUUUCAAUGGUUGACCUCGGAUCAGGUAGGGAUACCCGCUGAACUUAAGCAUAUCAAUAAGCGGAGGAAAAGAAACCAACAGGGAUUGCCUCAGUAACGGCGAGUGAAGCGGCAACAGCUCAAAUUUGAAAUCUGGCUUCCGGGCCCGAGUUGUAAUUUGCAGAGGGAGUUUCGGAGGCGGCACCGGCCUAAGUUCCUUGGAACGGGGCGUCAUAGAGGGUGAGAAUCCCGUACGUGGCCGGUGGUCAAUUCCAUGUGAAACCCUUUCGACGAGUCGAGUUGUUUGGGAAUGCAGCUCAAAAUGGGUGGUAAAUUUCAUCUAAAGCUAAAUACCGGCCAGAGACCGAUAGCGCACAAGUAGAGUGAUCGAAAGAUGAAAAGCACUUUGGAAAGAGAGUUAUUAAGUACGUGAAAUNGUUGAAAGGGAGCCCUGAGGAAAAGGAACAAAGGACAAAUUUCGGGGAUUCUCCCCCCCUUUUUACCCCCCCUUU